RNAcentral lists this transfer RNA (73 nucleotides) under Planctomycetota bacterium. Its description in RNAcentral is "Planctomycetes bacterium (freshwater metagenome) tRNA-Ala". It matches the Rfam family "tRNA". Rfam says of the family: Transfer RNA (tRNA) molecules are approximately 80 nucleotides in length. Their secondary structure includes four short double-helical elements and three loops (D, anti-codon, and T loops). Further hydrogen bonds mediate the characteristic L-shaped molecular structure. tRNAs have two regions of fundamental functional importance: the anti-codon, which is responsible for specific mRNA codon recognition, and the 3' end, to which the tRNAs corresponding amino acid is attached (by aminoacyl-tRNA synthetases). tRNAs cope with the degeneracy of the genetic code in two manners: having more than one tRNA (with a specific anti-codon) for a particular amino acid; and 'wobble' base-pairing, i.e. permitting non-standard base-pairing at the 3rd anti-codon position. The record is from RNAcentral. Lineage: Bacteria; Pseudomonadati; Planctomycetota.
GGGGAUGUAGCUCAGCUGGGAGAGCGCGUGCUUUGCAAGCACGAUGUCGGGGGUUCGAUCCCCCCCAUCUCCA